This 82-nucleotide transfer RNA is filed under the name Echinostoma caproni. It matches the Rfam family "tRNA". From Rfam's summary of the family: Transfer RNA (tRNA) molecules are approximately 80 nucleotides in length. Lineage: Eukaryota; Metazoa; Platyhelminthes; Trematoda; Plagiorchiida; Echinostomatidae. The record is from Rfam by way of RNAcentral.
GUCGAGAUGGCCGAUUGAUUAAGGCACUGGACUUGAAAUCCAAUGGGGUUCCCCCGCGCAGGUUCAAACCUUGCUCCCGACA